This 434-nucleotide ribosomal RNA is filed under the name uncultured bacterium. RNAcentral's name for it is "partial 16S ribosomal RNA". It matches the Rfam family "Bacterial small subunit ribosomal RNA", at positions 341 to 792 of the family's 1533-position model. The record is from RNAcentral.
ACGGAAGGCAGCAGUGGGGAAUAUUGCACAAUGGGGGAAACCCUGAUGCAGCAACGCCGCGUGAGCGAAGAAGUAUUUCGGUAUGUAAAGCUCUAUCAGCAGGAAAGAAAAUGACGGUACCUGACUAAGAAGCACCGGCUAAAUACGUGCCAGCAGCCGCGGUAAUACGUAUGGUGCAAGCGUUAUCCGGAUUUACUGGGUGUAAAGGGAGCGUAGGCGGUAUGCUAAGUCUGAUGUGAAAAUCCGGGGCUCAACCCCGGAACUGCAUUGGAAACUGGUAAACUGGAGUGUCGGAGAGGUAAGCGGAAUUCCUAGUGUAGCGGUGAAAUGCGUAGAUAUUAGGAGGAACACCAGUGGCGAAGGCGGCUUACUGGACGAUCACUGACGCUGAGGCUCGAAAGCGUGGGGAGCAAACAGGAUUAGAUACCCUGGUA